AGUGAACGCUGGCGGUAGGCCUAACACAUGCAAGUCGAACGGCAGCACAGUAAGAGCUUGCUCUUACGGGUGGCGAGUGGCGGACGGGUGAGGAAUACAUCGGAAUCUACUUUUUCGGGGGGGAUAACGUAGGGAAACUUACGCUAAUACCGCAUACGACCUACGGGGGAAAGCAGGGGAUCUUCGGACCUUGCGCGAUUGAAUGAGCCGAUGUCGGAUUAGCUAGUUGGCGGGGUAAAGGCCCACCAAGGCGACGAUCCGUAGCUGGUCUGAGAGGAUGAUCAGCCACACUGGAACUGAGACACGGUCCAGACUCCUACGGGAGGCAGCAGUGGGGAAUAUUGGACAAUGGGCGCAAGCCUGAUCCAGCCAUACCGCGUGGGUGAAGAAGGCCUUCGGGUUGUAAAGCCCUUUUGUUGGGAAAGAAAAGCAGCAGGUUAAUACCCCGCUGUUCUGACGGUACCCAAAGAAUAAGCACCGGCUAACUUCGUG
This 492-nucleotide ribosomal RNA is filed under the name uncultured bacterium. RNAcentral describes it as "partial 16S ribosomal RNA". It matches the Rfam family "Bacterial small subunit ribosomal RNA", at positions 29 to 507 of the family's 1533-position model. The record is from RNAcentral.